Molecule: non-coding RNA, 54 nt
Organism: Xenopus laevis (African clawed frog)
Lineage: Eukaryota; Metazoa; Chordata; Amphibia; Anura; Pipidae
Source: Rfam
AAAGUAGCAUAUGCCACUGCCAUGGACUGGUUUAUUGCAGUAUGUUAUGCUUUU